This is a non-coding RNA of Bos taurus (domestic cattle), 72 nucleotides long. NCBI's taxonomy places the organism in Eukaryota, Metazoa, Chordata, Mammalia, Artiodactyla, Bovidae. The record is from Rfam.
UCCCUUGUGGCUCAGAUGGUAAAGCGUCUGACUACAAUGCAGAAGACCCGGGUUCAAUCCCUGGAUCGGGAA